This 249-nucleotide ribosomal RNA is filed under the name uncultured Lactobacillus sp. Its description in RNAcentral is "partial 16S ribosomal RNA". It matches the Rfam family "Bacterial small subunit ribosomal RNA", at positions 114 to 355 of the family's 1533-position model. Lineage: Bacteria; Bacillati; Bacillota; Bacilli; Lactobacillales; Lactobacillaceae. The record is from RNAcentral.
CACGUGGGGAACCUGCCCCAUAGUCUGGGAUACCACUUGGAAACAGGUGCUAAUACCGGAUAAGAAAGUAGAUCGCAUGAUCAGCUUUUAAAAGGCGGCGUAAGCUGUCGCUAUGGGAUGGCCCCGCGGUGCAUUAGCUAGUUGGUAAGGUAAAGGCUUACCAAGGCGAUGAUGCAUAGCCGAGUUGAGAGACUGAUCGGCCACAUUGGGACUGAGACACGGCCCAAACUCCUACGGGAGGCAGCAGUC